AUUGAACGCUGGCGGAACGCUUUACACAUGCAAGUCGAACGGUAACGCGGAGAGAAGCUUGCUUCUCUCCGGCGACGAGUGGCGAACGGGUGAGUAAUACAUCGGAACGUGUCCGCUCGUGGGGGACAACCAGCCGAAAGGUUGGCUAAUACCGCAUGAGUUCUACGGAAGAAAGAGGGGGACCCGCAAGGGCCUCUCGCGAGCGGAGCGGCCGAUGACUGAUUAGCCGGUUGGUGAGGUAACGGCUCACCAAAGCAACGAUCAGUAGCUGGUCUGAGAGGACGACCAGCCACGCUGGGACUGAGACACGGCCCAGACUCCUACGGGAGGCAGCAGUGGGGAAUUUUGGACAAUGGGCGCAAGCCUGAUCCAGCUAUUCCGCGUGUGGGAUGAAGGCCCUCGGGUUGUAAACCACUUUUGUAGAGAACGAAAAGACACCUUCGAAUAAAGGGUGUUGCUAACGGUAC
Molecule: ribosomal RNA, 467 nt
Filed under: uncultured bacterium
Lineage: Bacteria
Description: bacterial SSU rRNA
Rfam family: Bacterial small subunit ribosomal RNA
Source: RNAcentral